CCCCAAGUCGGUGGGGGUCCGUCCAGAAACUCCAUGCCCCUGCCUCACCCUCUGCAGGCCAACGAGACUUUUGCCUUUGUGGGCAACGUGACUCACUAUGCCCAGGUCUGGCUCAACAUCUCGGCGGAGAUCCGCAGCUUCCUGGAGCAGGGCAGGCUGCAGCAACACCUGCGCUGGCUGCAGCAGUAUGUAGCAGAGCUGCGGCUGCACCCCGAGGCACUGAACCUGUCGCUGGAUGAGCUGCCGCCGGCCCUGAGACAGGACAACUUCUCGCUGCCCAGUGGCAUGGCCCUCCUGCAGCA
Molecule: small RNA, 302 nt
Filed under: Pan troglodytes (chimpanzee)
Lineage: Eukaryota; Metazoa; Chordata; Mammalia; Primates; Hominidae
Description: retained intron
Source: RNAcentral